AUUUUUAUAGUGUAUUUAACACUUAACAUUUUCAUUGUUAAAAAGCUUUAGCUAAAAAUA
This 60-nucleotide transfer RNA is filed under the name Argas miniatus. RNAcentral's name for it is "tRNA-Glu". The record is from RNAcentral. Lineage: Eukaryota; Metazoa; Arthropoda; Arachnida; Ixodida; Argasidae.